This is an RNA transcript of Strigops habroptila (Kakapo), 7216 nucleotides long. It is a transcript of the gene named HPS5 biogenesis of lysosomal organelles complex 2 subunit 2, with no coding region annotated. The record is from RefSeq and is a predicted model, not a curated record. NCBI's taxonomy places the organism in Eukaryota, Metazoa, Chordata, Aves, Psittaciformes, Psittacidae. The transcript is spliced from 21 exons.
GCCUAAACUAUAAAAAUUCCUCAACAAGAGAUUAUUUUAAAGUAUGUGCUCUUUAGGAAAAAUAUAUGAGGUUGCAGCUUUGAUAAGAGGGUGGAAACCAAGAAUUAAAUAGUUAUCGAUCUUCUAUCCUGGAAAAGAGGUGCUGUGGAAAGGGUAGUUCAUACAUGUUUAUGAGUAGUUGUAUUAAAAAUGCACAAAUGCAGAUAAUUCUAAAUUUGGUAUCAAUUGAGGAAAAUACUCCUUAAAUUUAGUUUUGGGGGAGAAGACGAUGUGGGUAUAAAAUGCUAAUGCUAGAUGUUUUCCUUGAGAAAAUGAGUUUCAAAUCAAGUGUGUGUGUUGUGGGGGGAAGUGCAUUUUGCCAUAAACCAAGGCUUUUUCCAUAGGUAGAUAGAAUUUGUUUCACAGGCGGAUAUAAAUAUAUCUUAAUAGCUGGAAUUUAAGUAUUUCCAAGGUUGGUUUCUGAUAGGUUAAGUUUUCUGAAACGAACUUCCACAAAGACUCCUCAUAAAUGAAGCAGGAGUCUAAUUUUGCAGCCCUUGGGCCUUUUUGGCAAACUGAAACCUGGUGUUCUUUGAAGGAGAAGACGUUCAGUGGUUUUUUUUAACACAGAAAAACAAAUGUCGUGCUGAAAAAUAGAACUUAUCAAGGACUGACUUUAUUUGUGGCAGGCACCGCUGAAAGCUGAAGCUGUAAUACACCCAUAAGCAAGUAGCACCGGUCGUGUACAUCGAUGGCCUCUGCGCCAAUAAUUCCAGACUCUUACAACCAUGUGUUGGCAGAGCUUGAAUGUUUGGAUCCGUUGCUUUCUGCACUCAGGCUGGAUUCUGGUCGUCUGAAGUGCACAUGUAUAGAUGUAUCAAAGAGAUGGCUGGCUCUGGGCAGCUCAGGAGGAGGGCUGAACCUUAUACAGAAAGAUGGCUGGAAGCAAAGGCUUUUUCUCACUCAUAAGGAGGGUGCCGUUUCCCGGGUUGCCUGUUGUUUGCAUGAUGAAGACUAUGUUGCUGUUGCCACCAGCCAAGGUCUUGUAGUAGUCUGGGAGCUGAACCAGGAACGUCGUGGGAAGCCAGAGCGGAUUUAUGUUUCCUCUGAGCACAAGGGCAGAAAAGUCACAGCUCUGCGUUGGGAUACAGCUGCUCUUCGUGUUUUUGUAGGAGAUCAUGUGGGAAAAGUAUCAGCCAUCAAGAUUAACACAUCGAAGCAAGGGAAGGCUGCUGCUACUUUUGUGAUGUUUCCUGUUCAGAUUAUAACCACUGUAGAUUCUCGGGUUGUUCAGCUCGAUUAUUUGGAUGGACGACUGCUCAUAUCUUCACUUACACGCACUUAUUUGUGUGAUACUGAGAGAGAGAAGUUCUGGAAAAUUGGUAAUAAAGAGAGAGAUGGAGAAUUUGGAGCAUGUUUCUUCCCUGCUGGAAAAAACAGUGGGAAUCAGCAGCCAUUAAUAUAUUGUGCUCGACCUGGCUCAAGGAUGUGGGAGGUGAACUUUGAUGGGGAAGUGCAAAGCACGCAUCAGUUCAAGCAGCUGCUGUCAUCACCACCCCUCCCUGUUGUUACUCUCAGGCUGGAUCCUCAUUAUACUAGUUCCAGCUGCUCUCCACAAUCUUUAUCUUUCCCAAAGCUGCUGUAUCUGACUGAGCACUGUGUGAUGACCUGGACAGAAAGAGGCAUUUAUAUUUUUCUUCCCCAAAGUGUUCAAGUCUUACUCUGGAGUGAAGUAAAAGAUAUUCAGGAUAUUGCAGUUUACAAAAGUGAGUUGUUCUGUCUGCAUACAAAUGGAAAAGUUGUUCAUCUCUCCCUUCUGCUGGUAGACCGCUGCAUAGACCGUCUAAUGAGAAGAGGGUUCUGGACCCUUGCUGCCAGGGUCUGUUGUCUCUUCCAAAAUGCAAUUAUUUCUUGCAGGGCAAGAAAAAAUUUGCCUUUAGACAAGCUGGAGCACUUAAAGUCUCAGCUGGAUGCCUCAACCCAACAAGAUCUUACUGUGCAAGUGGAAGAACUGAUUUCAAAGUUGGAACCUGUAGAUUCUGCAUGCAGCAGUAGAAGGAGCAGUAUUUCAUCUCAUGAAAGUUUUAGUGUCUUAGAUUCUGGAAUAUAUCGUGUUAUCAGUCGAAGAGGCAGUCAGUCAGAUGAAGAUUCAAAUUCUCUCCACAGUCAAACAUUCUCAGAAGAUGAGAGACUUAAAGAAUUUCCUGCACACCAUGAAGAUGAGCAAGUAGAACUUGACAACGUAUCUCAUACAUCUGUGGCGGUUGAGGCUGACCGGAAUGAGACAUUUCUCCCAUUCAGUAUUCCUUUGUCAUUUCGUUCCCCAUCUCCUCUCGUCUCUCUCCAAGCUGUCAAAGAAAGUGUUUCCAGCUUUGUACGCAAAACUACUGAAAAGAUUGGCACACUUCAUAUAAGCCCUGAUGCUAGGGGGAGGCAAGAAGCCAAGGAUGAUGAGCAGCUGCAGGAGUUGAAUGUUAAUCUGGUAGCACCUCCUCAGGAAGAGAAAGAGUUAGAACCACAGAGCUGCCAACUUCCAGAGGAGGACCAUCUAAGAGAUCUCAAGGCUGCAACAGCAGAAGCUAUAGCCAAACUCCAGGAUCCCCUGGUUUUGUUAGAACCACAGUGUAUGAGAAGGGUUUUACAGGAAUGGCUUGUCUGUCUAGAAGCGAAGUUUGGCAGCAAAGAGCAUUCUGCUUCCUCUGUCGAGAACUGCAAGACUGCGUGUGCUGAAGAACAGAGUGCAGUUCUGGAAGAAAACCUACGACUAGGUCCAACUGAUGGAGACCCAGAAGACAAAGAACGGAGCAGUAUCUUGGAAGACUACACUGAAAAGGGAAAUACUGAAGAAACCUGUGUAAGCAAGGCCAUGUGUGAAAAUAGUACUGAUUUGAAGGGACCUUUGGACUGCGUCUUUCAAGUGUCUCCUCCAUGUGUCAUAGAACCGGAUGUUCAGAAAGAUCUUGUUGAGUUGACAACACUGUGUUUUGAGAUGUGUGUGUUUUCUUUUGGAAGUGGUGAUGCUGAGGAAAGCUCUGAUGGAAGUCUGCCACUAGCAGCUUCGUGGACCUUGGCUUGUAGAUUUAUGCGAAGCUACUUCUUUCUUUUGGAUUUAAAAAGACUAAAGCAAUGUAUUAUAACCAUGCAUGCAAACAGUCCUAAUGUAUGGGAAACAUACAUCACAGGCUUGAAAGAACUAACUAGUCACAGCCCAGUGGCUUUAGCAAUGGAAAAUGAAGAUAUGUUGAGAAUACUGAAACAGCUGCAUGACCUGGGGCCUUGGGAUGAUAGCCCGCUCUUACUGGUACAUGCUCAAAGGCUUUAUGAAAAAUUUGGGGAAACAGCUCUUCGGCCCUUAAUCAAGUUCCACCCCUCCCUGUUGCCUUCUGAUAUCAAACAGCUUUGCAGGAAUAAUCCAGCUCACUUUUUAGCGUAUUUAGAUAGUUUGGUGAAAUCAAAGCCAGAGGAUAAAAGGUCAUCUCUCCUUAGAUCUCUUCUGCAGCCUGAAUCUGUACGACUGGAUUGGUUGUGCUUGGCAGUUUCUCAUGAUGCACCACAAAGAGCAAAUACUGUGGAUGCGGAAGGAAAUCCCAGGCCACGAUCACAUUUGUUUACUUGGGGCUACAGCCAGCUCAUUUUGCUUUUGAUUAAACUCCCAGCUAACUUCGUUACAAAAGAAAAGAUGACUGACAUCUGUAAAUCACAUGGGUUCCAUUCCAGAGACCAUAGAAGAAUGGAAGUUUCUUCUGCACCUCGCACAAAAUCACAGCACAGCUUUCCACCACUAUGGCCCACAGAAUGGGAAUGCUGUCAGCAACAGUAGCCCAAGCUGCCCAGACUGCAUCACUGUGGAAAACGUAGCACUCUUGCUGGCAAAGGCCAUUGGCCCAAACCAUGCCUUGCCUCUCUUGCAGGAAUGUGGCUUGACACUAGAAUUGUCUGAGAGAUUUACUGGUGUCUGCAAGAUACUGAGAAUUGCUGAAAAAAGGCAAAGAGCGCUGAUUCAGUCCAUGUUGGAAAGGUGUGACCGGUUUUUGUGGUCUCAGCAAGCAUAGGAAACAGCUUGGAAAACUCUGGGAACAUUUUUUUACUGUAAUGAUUGUGUAUUAAAUUGCCUCUUAAACUUAACAGGCUCUUAAAGAAAGGAACUCCUGUCUAGAAGUUCAGAUGUAUUGAGCCACUCUCCAUCUGGCAGGUAUCUGACCGGGAACUGCUGAGGGUUCUUCCUCGUGCCUUUGGAGCUGAAUUUUGAACUGUAGAACUUAAAUCAAAACAAUCCCAUAUUUACCUUGAAAUUAAGCUCACAGGUUUCUGAGAUGGAAAUUCCUGAGUUUAUUUUCUGAGUUUGUAUGACUGAAGUGUUAAUGAUGUGAGCUCUGAAGUAUUAAAUUAUGGUAUAGAAGUUUUUUUGUUUGUUUCCAAACAUGAGAAAACAUUCCUCAGAAAUAUCUAAGCCAGUAUUUGUUUAAUUUUCCUGUAAAUGGUAUUUACAUUUUCGAGUUACUGUAGAACUGCUUGUUAUUCUACCUGGUUUAUUCUCUUCUUAAAUUAUAUGGACUGGUCUUGGCCAUUUGAAAUGUAUGAAUUAAACCAAGUCUUAAAAUAGGAGGGAAAUAUUUUGCAGGAGUGGAUUAAUGGUUAAGAAUGCUGAUUAACAGAACUUGUUAAAUGAACUCAGUGUUAAACUAUAAGCGUGAUCUUUCCAAAUUGCCCCAUUCUGCCUGUGCAACAUGACUAUAGACAUUAGUUGUGAUAGUUCAACAAACUUCCGGUCAGUGGAAUUAGAAUCACAGAAUCAUUUAGGUUGGAAAAGACUCUUAAGAUCAGUGAGUCUAACCGUAAACUGCCAAGUCAACCAUUAAACCACAUCCUUAAGUGCCACAUCUAUACUCCAGUGCUUCAACCACUUCCUUGGGCACCCAGUUCCAGUGCUUAACAACUCUUUUGGUGAAGAAAUCUUUUCUAAUCUCCUGUCUGAACCUGCCCUGGUGCAACUUCAAGCCCUUUCCUCUUGUCCUAUCACUUGGGGAAAGCGAGUCCAACACCCACUUUGCUACAACCUCCUUUCAGGUAGUUGUAGACAGCAAUAAAUGUCUCCCCUCAGCCUCCUUUUCUCCAGACUAAACAACCCCAGAUCCCUCAGCCACUUCUCAUAAGACUUGUUCUCUAGACCUUUUGCCAGCUUUCUUGCCCUUCUCUGGAUGCACUCCAGCGUCCCAAUGUCUGUCUUGACCAAAAGUGAACACAGUACUCGAUGCGCGGUCUCACCAGUGCCAGCUGCAGGGGCGAUGAUCACUGUCCUGGCCCUGCUGGCUAUGUUAUUUCUGAUACAAGCCAGGAUGCCGUUGGCCUUCUUGGGCACACUGCUGGCCCAUAUUCAGCUGGCUGUCAAACAACCACCCUGGCUCCUUUUCUGCUGGGGCAGCUUUCCAGCCACUCUUCUCCAAGCCUGUAGUGUUGCAUGUGACCUAAGCACAGGCCCCAGCACUGAGCCUUGAUGAGCCUCAUAAAUUGGCCUUGGCGCAUCGAUCCAGCCUGUCUACCUCCCUCUGUAGAGCCUUCCUACCCUCAAACAGAUCAACGCUCCCACCCAGCUUAGUGUUGUCUGUAAACUUGCUGAGGGUGCAUUUGAUCCCCUCAUCCAGAUCAUUGAUUAAAGAUAUUAAACAGAACUGGCCCCAGUCCUGGAACACCACUUGUGACCGACCACCAACUGGAUUUAACUCCAUUCACCACCACUUGUGCGGCUCCGCCAUCCAGCCAGAUUUUUACCCAUCAAAGAACAUGCCCAUCCAAGCCAUAAGCAGCCAGUUUCUCCAGGAGGAUACUGUGGGAGAAUGAAACGGAGUCUCUCAAGGGCUUUACUGAAGUUCAGGUGAACUUUGGUAUUUUUAGAUGCGUGCUGUCAAGAUCUAUGCUUUGUACCAGCACUCUUUCUGCACUUAAUACAUAUUUGAACAAGUUUCUUUCCGGGCUUCUAGUUUUGGCCCUCUGUUGGACUUCCAUUUUCAGCAGAAGGCCACGGUGUCUGGUCAAUACCUGAUAUUCAUAAAUGUUAUUUAAAGAAAAAAAAUCAUGCAUUGGAACUAAAUUUUUUUAAAAUCCAUAAUUUUGUCAUGAAAUUACUUGAAAGUAUUUCUUUAUAAAGCAUCUUUUUAUGUAGUCUUGCAACACUUGUAGUACUGCAAAAUAAUGCUUUUAUUUUCAUGUAAAAUAGGAUUUAGUAAUACAACUUUCAGACUUCUGAAAGGUGCGGUCUGACUAUUUCAUCUCAAUUGCAAGAAAGAGGGUUGGUUACUUCACUAGAGGAAUCAAGUUACAGGAAGACAAUUAGUGGCAGGCUUUCAUUUGUUAGCGUUGCUGGUGGGAAAGCCAAUGCAGAACUACUUCUAAAGAAAACUGUAAAUCUUUGGGGUUUGGAUUUUGAUAUUGGAGACAGCAUGGAUCCUUCUAUCAGAAACCCCCCAUGCUCUUACAGUAAGACUUAGGAGCCAGGUGCCUCCAGUGUAUGGUGAGGUUACACGGACCAGAUGAUGUAGGUGCCUGUUCUCUUGCCUGCUGGAUGCACACACUGUUACUUCCAUGACUUGUGCUUAACUAACUCUGUUUCAUUCAGUGCGUGAAUGUAACACAGUUUUAGCUGAGUACUCAUGUUGCCCUCAUGGGAAUUCAGCUGGCUUUCCGAGAGUAUACCUGGCUUGUCUCUUUAACCUAAGGGUUCUGCUUCAUUUGCUCUGUGUACUUUGUGUACACAGCAGUCUCUUUUUUGCUUCUGUGGGUUUUUUGUACACUUGGUUAACUUCGUGUAAGCGUUGGGGAUUUUUACCAUUAAUGUUACUUUCCAUUCAGAGUUUUUUCAAAAAUUUUGUCUCGGAACAGUUAUAAGUAACAAUGGGAACUGUUUGUUCAAAUAUGGUGGCUAAAGUGAGCUUGUUCUCAUGAGUUCAGCUAACUUGGCUGUCAAUAAAGUGUAAGGAUUUACUUUCUGAAGAAGAGUUGGAAAAUCACUUGUUACAUGUGUUUUCAUCUCAUAUGGGUAAGGUGAAGGGAUUGCGUUACUGAGAUGGUCUUCUGUUUGGAAGUUACAGUUGUACAGAGCAGUGCUCUCACCCUAAAGCUACAGCCCCUACCAGCUCUUGGUAGCUGUGCAUACACCACUGACACUUGAAGCCAGCCUGUGCUGGAGCAGGUUUGCUCCAGCUCAUCUUUGGUUUAAGUGGCUGACUGUUGGUGGAGGGAA